This 429-nucleotide ribosomal RNA is filed under the name Bacillota bacterium. Its description in RNAcentral is "Firmicutes bacterium partial 16S ribosomal RNA". It matches the Rfam family "Bacterial small subunit ribosomal RNA", at positions 355 to 776 of the family's 1533-position model. Lineage: Bacteria; Bacillati; Bacillota. The record is from RNAcentral.
UGGGGAAUUUUGGACAAUGGGCGAAAGCCUGAUCCAGCAAUGCCGCGUGUGUGAAGAAGGCCUUCGGGUUGUAAAGCACUUUUGUCCGGAAAGAAAUGGCUCUGGUUAAUACCUGGGGUCGAUGACGGUACCGGAAGAAUAAGGACCGGCUAACUACGUGCCAGCAGCCGCGGUAAUACGUAGGGUCCAAGCGUUAAUCGGAAUUACUGGGCGUAAAGCGUGCGCAGGCGGUUGUGCAAGACCGAUGUGAAAUCCCCGAGCUUAACUUGGGAAUUGCAUUGGUGACUGCACGGCUAGAGUGAGUCAGAGGGGGGUAGAAUUCCACGUGUAGCAGUGAAAUGCGUAGAGAUGUGGAGGAAUACCGAUGGCGAAGGCAGCCACAUGGGAUAACAAUGACGCAAAUGCACGAAAGCGUGGGGAGCAAACAGG